ACAUGGUCGACUAAGCCUUUAGAGACGCUCAAUCUGCUCUCAAUACAUGGAAGCACUGGAGAAAAUAUUAGAACAUUCAUAAAAAUGUUCCUCUAUAUAACAAGGUUAAGAAAGAAAGCUUAGCAAUUACCCGGUAGAAGAAAUAAAAGGAAAACUUAUAAAGCCAAAGCAGUAGGAACAUGAACUGUUGGCAUAGUGUCCCAGAGCAACAUUAAGGUACGUGGUAGCCACUGGUCCAGGAAGUGAGUUCUUUUCCAUCCCUAUUAAGGAAAAAUGGAGAGAGUUUUGUUCCAUGUGUGGACAACAUAUUUAUGGAUUUGCCCUUCAGUUAAAAUAUGACCCCAAACUACUUAGACCGUGUGGACAGUCCACAGAACAUCAGCUGUUCUACUUUACUGAUGGCAUCCUACCAUUUGGAACAGAUUGGAAAGGAAUGGUGAAUACAUGAGAGGCCAUGCUGUGAGGUAAACCCUGUGCAGAUUCAAGUGAGCCCACCAUAUUAGGAAAGGUUUUAGAGGCCCAAUGUUUGGGGCAUGGAGGGCACACUCAACAGACACAGUAGUGCAUCUUGCCCCUCCCUCUACUACUGCAACUACACACACACACACACACACACACACACACACACACACACACACACACAGAUACAGAAGUACAAGGACAAUCACAGGCCCUGUGGAAACAUAGGCUCUAGGCCCCACAGAGUGAAACACAUCAUCUUGGGGACAUAGGAGGAAUCUCACUAAAAAUUACAGCCGUACCGGUUCACUUCUGCCUUCUUGAACUGAGAUAUAGGCGGGGAGCCGAACAGACCAAACCGACAGGACUAAUUGAUCAGAACCAUCAGGAUGCAAAGAGCUGGGGAAGAGUUCAUAGGGUAUCUGGGGGAUGCACUGGCACAUUUCACGGCACUGCCCUCUGGAAUUGUAGCGGCAAAUGGACAAGGCAGCAGUUAAGGCAGCAUUGAGAAGUGCAUGGUGACCGGGACCUGAGAGACCUUAGGAUUUACCUGUUGAAGCAGGUAUAUCUUCAUUUAUACCCAUUAAGAGGCUGCGGUUCCAACUUCUCAGCUGAAUGUGACAUAUAUUGAAUGUGACAUCCCAGAAAUUUUAAGAUACGUAAAGAUAAGGAAGUGAGGAGGAUCUCCCUGGGGUAGCUACUGGUUCAAGAAGGAUGACACACGAAGCCGACUGGAAACACCCAUUCCCAGAGCAAUGGACUGAACUAAGCCCAGUUAUAAGCACCAAACCCAGG
Molecule: long non-coding RNA, 1254 nt
Organism: Felis catus (domestic cat)
Lineage: Eukaryota; Metazoa; Chordata; Mammalia; Carnivora; Felidae
Exons: 3
Source: RefSeq, a predicted model, not a curated record